Molecule: non-coding RNA, 45 nt
Filed under: Schistosoma mansoni
Lineage: Eukaryota; Metazoa; Platyhelminthes; Trematoda; Strigeidida; Schistosomatidae
Source: RNAcentral
AUCUAGCUGAAGAGUCCCAAAUGGGACGAAACGCGCGUCCUGGAU